RNAcentral lists this ribosomal RNA (432 nucleotides) under uncultured bacterium. Its description in RNAcentral is "partial 16S ribosomal RNA". It matches the Rfam family "Bacterial small subunit ribosomal RNA", at positions 29 to 506 of the family's 1533-position model. The record is from RNAcentral.
AACGAACGCUGGCGGCAUGCCUAACACAUGCAAGUCGAACGAUGCCUUCGGGCAUAGUGGCGCACGGGUGCGUAACGCGUGGGAAUCUGCCUUUCGGUUCGGAAUAACUCAGGGAAACUUGAGCUAAUACCGGAUAACGUCGCAAGACCAAAGAUUUAUCACCGAAAGAUGAGCCCGCGUAGGAUUAGCUAGUUGGUGAGGUAAAGGCUCACCAAGGCGACGAUCCUUAGCUGGUCUGAGAGGAUGAUCAGCCACACUGGGACUGAGACACGGCCCAGACUCCUACGGGAGGCAGCAGUGGGGAAUAUUGGACAAUGGGCGAAAGCCUGAUCCAGCAAUGCCGCGUGGGUGAUGAAGGCCUUAGGGUUGUAAAGCUCUUUUACCCGGGAAGAUAAUGACGGUACCGGGAGAAUAAGCCCCGGCUAACUCCGU